RNAcentral lists this ribosomal RNA (777 nucleotides) under uncultured Neocallimastigales. RNAcentral's name for it is "partial large subunit ribosomal RNA". It matches the Rfam family "Eukaryotic large subunit ribosomal RNA", at positions 24 to 639 of the family's 3401-position model. The record is from RNAcentral. Lineage: Eukaryota; Fungi; Neocallimastigomycota; Neocallimastigomycetes; Neocallimastigales.
GUAGUCUCGCACAGAUGCAUAUCAAUAAGCGGAGGAAAAGAAACUAACAAGGAUUCCCCUAGUAACGGCGAGUGAAGCGGGAAGAGCUCAAAUUUGAAAUCUUAAAGGGUUUCCCUUUACGAAUUGUAGUUUAAAGAAGUGUUUUCUGUUGAGGUUUUGGUAAAAGUUCUUUGGAAUAGGACAUCAUAGAGGGUGAGAAUCCCGUAUUUGACCUUUACUUUCAACUUUGUGAUACACUUUCAAAGAGUCGGAUUGUUUGGGAAUGCAGUCCAAAAUGGGUGGUAAAUUUCAUCUAAAGCUAAAUAUUGGCGAGAGACCGAUAGCGAACAAGUACCGUGAGGGAAAGAUGAAAAGAACUUUGAAAAGAGAGUUAAACAGUACGUGAAAAUUGUCAAAAGGGAAGCGUUUGACACCAGUGUUGUUUUUCUGAAAAUCAAUUAAAGAACUGUUUAUGCUAAGCUGUUUAGACUUUAUCAGCUAUCUGUUUAGUUUUGAGCUUUUCUUUAAUGCACUUUUUCAGUUAACAAGUCAACAUCAAUUUCUUUUGCUGUAAAAAAGCUUGAGGAAGGUGGCUUGAGAUUCGUCUUAAGUGUUUAUAGCCUCUUGCCUAUGCAGUCGGAGAGAUUGAGGUCUGCAGCGUAGAUCCUUCGGGGCUAAAUGCAUUUGUGCUAAGUUAUAACAUUUUAUAGACAACUUGUUGACUAUGAUUUGUCUUGUAGCUUACUCGCUUAUGUUAUUUUACCUACGCUUAGGAUGUUGAAGCUACUGAGACAUAGA